RNAcentral lists this ribosomal RNA (772 nucleotides) under Schwanniomyces occidentalis var. occidentalis. Its description in RNAcentral is "LSU rRNA". It matches the Rfam family "Eukaryotic large subunit ribosomal RNA", at positions 1 to 721 of the family's 3401-position model. The record is from RNAcentral. Lineage: Eukaryota; Fungi; Ascomycota; Pichiomycetes; Serinales; Debaryomycetaceae.
ACUCGUUGAAUAGUCUGGUAGCAAAUGUUUGGUAUUAUUGGCUCGGCCUUACAACACAACAAACAAGUUUGACCUCAAAUCAGGUAGGACUACCCGCUGAACUUAAGCAUAUCAAUAAGCGGAGGAAAAGAAACCAACAGGGAUUGCCUUAGUAACGGCGAGUGAAGCGGCAAAAGCUCAAAUUUGAAAUCUGGCACCUUCGGUGCCCGAGUUGUAAUUUGAAGAAGGUAACUUUGGGAUUGGCUCUUGUCUAAGUUCCUUGGAACAGGACGUCACAGAGGGUGAGAAUCCCGUGCGAUGAGAUGACCAAUCCUAUGUAAAGUGCUUUCGAAGAGUCGAGUUGUUUGGGAAUGCAGCUCUAAGUGGGUGGUAAAUUCCAUCUAAAGCUAAAUAUUGGCGAGAGACCGAUAGCGAACAAGUACAGUGAUGGAAAGAUGAAAAGAACUUUGAAAAGAGAGUGAAAAAGUACGUGAAAUUGUUGAAAGGGAAGGGCUUGAGAUCAGACUUGGUAUUUUGCAUUCCUUACCUUCGUGGUGGGGUUCCUUGCAGUUUACUGGGCCAGCAUCGGUUUGGAUGGUGGGAUAAUGACAUUGGAAUGUGGCUCUGCUUCGGUAGAGUGUUAUAGCCAGUGUUGAUACCGCCUGUCUAGACCGAGGACUGCGUCUUUGACUAGGAUGCUGGCAUAAUGAUCUUAAGUCGCCCGUCUUGAAACACGGACCAAGGAGUCUAACGUCUAUGCGAGUGUUUGGGUGUAAAACCCGUACGCGUAAUG